This is a long non-coding RNA of Cydia splendana, 792 nucleotides long. RefSeq lists it as uncharacterized. Lineage: Eukaryota; Metazoa; Arthropoda; Insecta; Lepidoptera; Tortricidae. The transcript has 4 exons. The record is from RefSeq and is a predicted model, not a curated record.
AUAAACACGUCAAUCGAAGUAAAGAAUUUAAUAUCCAAGAAAAAAAUGCUGAAUAUGUAAAGCAUCAUUUAUUAUAGAAUUAAAAUGAUAUACCAAUUAUACGGGUUACAUCUUAAAAAAGAUGAUUAUCUUGGAAAGGAUACACAGGUGAACAAAGUUAAGGAACGCGUGAAAAUCUAAAGUUUAAAUAAAAGAGAAGAAAUUUCCGAUGGCUGUGGGAAUGUAACAAAAUUUUAAAGUAGCGAUUUAAGAUAAUCAAUCAUCUACAAACACGUUUUCGGCCACAGCGAAUACGUUCACCACUAAGAAUGUCGGUGGUGCGCUCUCAAAGUAAAAAAAAAGAGUUCAAUGGACUGGCACUGGUUUCACCAAGAACGAUGAGCGAGAAGCGAUUGGAGCUACAAAAUAAGAAAUGAGUUGGCGCGCGAGCAGUGAGAAGCGAGUAUAGUUCUGGGAGUGCGCAAAAGAAUUGCACGACCUGAUCCCAGCUUUCCCUUUCCGGACGUCCAGGCGCGAGGAGCGAAUGCACCCGUUCGUUGUUAAUAUUCCAUUUGUCCGCACAAAACGAUUUGCCUCAUCUUUUUUGGUAAGGACGAUUAAGGAAUGGAAUGCGCUUCCGUCAUCUGUGUUUCCUGGGAAAUUUGACCUCGGUCUCUUUAAAGCAAGAGUGAAUAGGCUAUUACUUACUGAGCCGGUAAGCUCCAUCAUCUUAGGCUCUGUUUUCACUUUCCAUCAGGUGUGACUAGAGCCAAUGCCCGUUCAGUUUAUUAUAAAAAAUAUAUAUACAAAGAG